AGGAAGGGCGCCCAGGACCAUUCC
This 24-nucleotide non-coding RNA is filed under the name Arabidopsis thaliana (thale cress). Lineage: Eukaryota; Viridiplantae; Streptophyta; Magnoliopsida; Brassicales; Brassicaceae. The record is from RNAcentral.